This is a long non-coding RNA of Bos taurus (domestic cattle), 575 nucleotides long. The record is from Ensembl. Lineage: Eukaryota; Metazoa; Chordata; Mammalia; Artiodactyla; Bovidae.
AGAAAUAAGUAGGGUCCAGUCCCUAUUCCUGAGGCCUUAGAGAAAGGGGAAGAUCCAUAAACUGAAAGGCAGAAAGAUCAUGCAAGAGGGGAGGAGGCCACCAGACUAAAGGACGUUCAAAGAAAGGCGGGUGCCCCUGAAGCACCAGGAUGGAGUCAGCCCCAUGAGACACUCACUAAGCAGUUGUGAACUCCUAGUGUAGUACUGCCGUGCAGCUGAGUAUUCAUAAUUCUUAAGGGCCUCUGUAGAGGAGAAGGAACCAGCAUUCUCUAGGCACACUGAAGCCGCCUCUCCACCUAUAAGUAAAAAGAAGAGACGAUCCCAAGCACAGAGAGGGCCUGAGUCCGUGGCAGCCUCCCUUGGCACCUCAGACCUCCAAACACUGAGAAAACUCAUCCGGAGUCAGAUCCAGACGUUUCUUCAUCUCAGCUGCCAGGAAGUACGUAUUUUGGCACAUGGGGACCAAGGAAGGAAGGAAUGGAGGAGAACUUACCCCAGAGGCUAGUAAAAUAUCAGCACAGGUUGUUUGCUCAUCUGUGGGAAAACAAUAGAAAAGAAAAAAAAAAAAAAAAAAA